CUUGAGCAAAAAGAAGCCAGGGACAGUGCUCAGGCCCCAAGUCCAAGCUUCAGGAUUGGCAAAAAAAAAAAAAAAACUUCUAAAAUACUAAGGACAAUCCAAAUGGCUUAAAUGGACACACUGUUAAACUAAUUAUAAACUAUAAAUAAAACAGAAUACUAUUCAAUAAAAAAAGGAAAAGUGAUCAAUAUAUUUUGUGGAUUUCAAGGGGAUUAUGCUGAGUGGAGGAAAAAACAGGGGUUGUGUGGAUAAACAGAAAAGGGUAUCUGGGACAAAUACAGUCAUAAUAUUCAAAUGUACAUACAUGCAAAAGGAAGUAGGAAAUGUGAUAGGACUCCAGGAGGAAGGAAGAGAGGGAACAGGCAAGAAUGAUCAAGAUGUACUGGACAUAUACAUUAGCAGGUUAAGAUGUAACACUCUUGUAUAACCAUUUGAAGACCAAAAAAAAAAAAAAAAAAAAAAGAAAGGAAAAAAAGGAAAAUAAAUUACCCUACCAGUCAAUUUUGAGAUAUUUUUGUGAAAUGCAAAUGCUUUCCAAAACAAAUCAUAAACCAGGGAAUGCCAUGAGCAUAAUGCAGUUACAUUAUGAUGAAAUAUAAUUUUGUACAGAAAAAAACACUCGGUAAGUACAAAAAAAUGUACCCAGAUGGGCCAAAAUGCACACACAUACACAAUGAACAUUUCCAGACUAUUAUACAUCACCAAUUGUGUGAUGGGAUAUAUGCAUCCGUAUCUGGUACUGGACUUAACAUUCAAUUCAUGAGAUCCUUCUACAUCACCUCCUAAUAGCCCACAGGCUGAAACCCUCUUGUUGCUCACUUCCACAGGCAAGCCACAGAUCUUUUCCAAGUUUAAGUGCCAAAUUCAUUGUAGUAUUUAUAUAUUUCAUAGCCAUCUCACAUAUGUAAAACUAUGAAUUUUAAUGGGUAUUUUUAGUUAUCAUUAACAAAAUUCCUGAAUGUUGACCUUCUACCAUUUACCUGUAAGUUUCGUGAUAUUAUACAAUUUUGCAUAGUGUAAUGAUAUUAAAGGUAUAUAUGGCAUAAAAGCAGAACUGACUGUAUUUUUCCAAAUGAUUAAAUCUGGUGUCAGUAUAUCAGACAUCAUAUGCCUCUUGAUAUAUGGCAAUAUGAACCACACAGCACCCCAAGAUUUUUACCAAAAAUCUUGAAACAGUAUAACCAAGCCUCAUAGAUCUAACCUUCAUAGUGAAAAGAAAUAGGAGUAACAUUAGUUUAGUGUAACAAAAAGGAAGUAAUUAGACAAAUUCAAACUGCUGUAGUUAUCCAGACAAUUAGUUUCUGUGAUUAAAUCCUAUUUUGGAAAAAAAAAAAAAACUACUAUAGAACAUAUUUUUAGUAGCAUAAGGGAAAUUGACUAGAGACACCAGAGUAUUAAAUAUAGAAGUAUUGCUAACCUUAAGAUUGUUAUUACACUUAAUUAUAAAACAUCCUUAUUUUUAGAAUUAAAAUCUAAGUUUCUGUAUGUUAAAAAAAUAAAUAUGGGAAUAUAUCUAAAUGUUUCUGUAUGGAUGUAUAAUAUAAAUAUACACUCGUAAGUAACAAGUUACUAUAGAAUUAAGUUAAAACAGAUGCAACCAAGUUUGAGUAGGAGCAAGAAUAAUUUUAUCACAGAAUAUAGAGGAUAAUGCUAAUAACAUUAUGACAAUAAAACAGAAAAUAAGUUCAUGCGGAAAUAAAACAAUUCAUAGUUUCUAGUUCUACUACCUAAAACAUGUCUUUACAAAACAGAAAUCUGGGCAAGGCUUAAGUGGUAAGGUGCUUUUGUAGCAAGCACAAGUCCCAGAGUGAGCUGUGGGGCAGAGCUGAUGCUUGUUGAAAGAUAAGGAUAGGAGUCGCCACUGAAGAAUAAACAACAAAAA
Molecule: long non-coding RNA, 1882 nt
Organism: Perognathus longimembris pacificus (Pacific pocket mouse)
Lineage: Eukaryota; Metazoa; Chordata; Mammalia; Rodentia; Heteromyidae
Exons: 2
Source: RefSeq, a predicted model, not a curated record